GACGAACGCUGGCGGCGUGCUUAACACAUGCAAGUCGAACGGAAAGGCCCUGCUUGCAGGGUACUCGAGUGGCGAACGGGUGAGUAACACGUGGGUGAUCUGCCCUGCACUUCGGGAUAAGCCUGGGAAACUGGGUCUAAUACCGGAUAGGAGCCAUUUUUAGUGUGAUGGUUGGAAAGUUUUUUCGGUGUAGGAUGAGCUCGCGGCCUAUCAGCUUGUUGGUGGGGUAAUGGCCUACCAAGGCGGCGACGGGUAGCCGGCCUGAGAGGGUGGACGGCCACAUUGGGACUGAGAUACGGCCCAGACUCCUACGGGAGGCAGCAGUGGGGAAUAUUGCACAAUGGGCGCAAGCCUGAUGCAGCGACGCCGCGUGGGGGAUGACGGCCUUCGGGUUGUAAACUCCUUUCGCUAGGGACGAAGCUUUUUGUGACGGUACCUAGAUAAGAAGCACCGGCUAACUACGUGCCAGCGCCGCGGUAAU
This 481-nucleotide ribosomal RNA is filed under the name uncultured bacterium. RNAcentral describes it as "bacterial SSU rRNA". It matches the Rfam family "Bacterial small subunit ribosomal RNA", at positions 28 to 524 of the family's 1533-position model. The record is from RNAcentral.